GAUGAACGCUGGCGGCGUGCCUAAUACAUGCAAGUCGAGCGAACGGACGAGAAGCUUGCUUUUCUGAUGUUAGCGGCGGACGGGUGAGUAACACGUGGAUAACCUACCUAUAAGACUGGGAUAACUUCGGGAAACCGGAGCUAAUACCGGAUAAUAUUUUGAACCGCAUGGUUCAAAAGUGAAAGACGGUCUUGCUGUCACUUAUAGAUGGAUCCGCGCUGCAUUAGCUAGUUGGUAAGGUAACGGCUUACCAAGGCAACGAUGCAUAGCCGACCUGAGAGGGUGAUCGGCCACACUGGAACUGAGACACGGUCCAGACUCCUACGGGAGGCAGCAGUAGGGAAUCUUCCGCAAUGGGCGAAAGCCUGACGGAGCAACGCCGCGUGAGUGAUGAAGGUCUUCGGAUCAUAAAACUCUGUUAUUAGGGAAGAACAUAUGUGUAAGUAACUGUGCACAUCUUGACGGUACCUAAUCAGAAAGCCACGGCUAACUACGUGCCAGCAGCCGCGGUAAUACGUAGGUGGCAAGCGUUAUCCGGAAUUAUUGGGCGUAAAGCGCGCGUAGGCGGUUUUUUAAGUCUGAUGUGAAAGCCCACGGCUCAACCGUGGAGGGUCAUUGGAAACUGGAAAACUUGAGUGCAGAAGAGGAAAGUGGAAUUCCAUGUGUAGCGGUGAAAUGCGCAGAGAUGUGGAGGAACACCAGUGGCGAAGGCGACUUUCUGGUCUGUAACUGACGCUGAUGUGCGAAAGCGUGGGGAUCAAACAGGAUUAGAUACCCUGGUAGUCCACGCCGUAAACGAUGAGUGCUAAGUGUUAGGGGGUUUCCGCCCCUUAGUGCUGCAGCUAACGCAUUAAGCACUCCGCCUGGGGAGUACGACCGCAAGGUUGAAACUCAAAGGAAUUGACGGGGGCCCGCACAAGCGGUGGAGCAUGUGGUUUAAUUCGAAGCAACGCGAAGAACCUUACCAAAUCUUGACAUCCUUUGACAACUCUAGAGAUAGAGCCUUCCCCUUCGGGGGACAAAGUGACAGGUGGUGCAUGGUUGUCGUCAGCUCGUGUCGUGAGAUGUUGGGUUAAGUCCCGCAACGAGCGCAACCCUUAAGCUUAGUUGCCAUCAUUAAGUUGGGCACUCUAAGUUGACUGCCGGUGACAAACCGGAGGAAGGUGGGGAUGACGUCAAAUCAUCAUGCCCCUUAUGAUUUGGGCUACACACGUGCUACAAUGGACAAUACAAAGGGCAGCGAAACCGCGAGGUCAAGCAAAUCCCAUAAAGUUGUUCUCAGUUCGGAUUGUAGUCUGCAACUCGACUACAUGAAGCUGGAAUCGCUAGUAAUCGUAGAUCAGCAUGCUACGGUGAAUACGUUCCCGGGUCU
This 1372-nucleotide ribosomal RNA is filed under the name uncultured bacterium. RNAcentral describes it as "bacterial SSU rRNA". It matches the Rfam family "Bacterial small subunit ribosomal RNA", at positions 28 to 1381 of the family's 1533-position model. The record is from RNAcentral.